AGAGUUUGAUCCUGGCUCAGGACGAACGCUGGCGGCGUGCCUAACACAUGCAAGUCGAACGAGGACCAGAGAGCUUGCUCUCUGUAGCCGAGUGGCGGACGGGUGAGUAACACGUGACCAACCUGUCUUCAGGUGGGGGACAACCUGGGGAAACCUGGGCUAAUACCGCAUGAAGUCCAUGGUUCGCAUGAACCGUGAAUGAAAGAGGGCCUCUGCUUGCAAGCUCUCGCCUGAUGAGGGGGUCGCGACGUAUCAGCUAGUUGGUGAGGUAAUGGCUCACCAAGGCUAUGACGCGUAGCGGGUCUGAGAGGACGACCCGUCACAUUGGGACUGAGAUACGGCCCAGACUCCUACGGGAGGCAGCAGUGGGGAAUAUUGCGCAGUGGCCGAAAGGUUGACGCAGCGACGCCGCGUGUGGGAGGAAGCCCUUCGGGGUGUAAACCAUUGUCAGGGGGGAAGAAACUCGGUAGUGCGAAUAGUGCUGUCGACUGACGGUACCCCCAGAGAAGCGCCGCUAACU
This 520-nucleotide ribosomal RNA is filed under the name uncultured bacterium. RNAcentral describes it as "bacterial SSU rRNA". It matches the Rfam family "Bacterial small subunit ribosomal RNA", at positions 8 to 502 of the family's 1533-position model. The record is from RNAcentral.